Molecule: transfer-messenger RNA, 108 nt
Filed under: Candidatus Poribacteria bacterium
Lineage: Bacteria; Candidatus Poribacteria
Description: partial transfer-messenger RNA
Rfam family: transfer-messenger RNA
About the family: Bacterial tmRNA, also known as 10Sa RNA or SsrA, is named for its dual tRNA and mRNA-like properties. Its role is to liberate the mRNA from a stalled ribosome.
Source: RNAcentral
UCCUGCACAGGGGAGACUUAUAGGCGAACCUUAAAACCUGUGAUAAGCAUGUAGUAGCCUCUGUUGAAAUGCCUUCGGACGCGGGUUCGAUUCCCGCCACCUCCAUUC